Molecule: long non-coding RNA, 433 nt
Filed under: Mytilus galloprovincialis (Mediterranean mussel)
Lineage: Eukaryota; Metazoa; Mollusca; Bivalvia; Mytilida; Mytilidae
Source: RNAcentral
CCUCCCCCUAUACCUCUAGCCAAUGUAGAAAAGUAAAAGAAUAACAAUACGCACAUUAAAAUUCAGUUCAAGAGAAGUCCGAGUCUGAUGUCAAAAGAUGUAACAAAAGAAAAUAAAUAAAAUGACAAUAAUACACAAAUAACAACAGACUACUAGCAGUUAACUGACAUGCCAGCUCCAGACCUCAAUUAAACUGAUUGAAAGAUUAUGUCUUCAUCAUAUGAAUAUCAGGUACAAUCCCUCCCGUUAGGGGUUUAGUAUCAUACUAUCAUAAAAUAUAUGAGAAGAACAUAACCCGUGUCAUGCCAACAACUGUUUUUUUUUAGAAAUAAAUGUGUUUAGUUCCGAUGCAAAGACCCUAUCAGUGAAUCAAUGUUAAAGCCAAAAUAUGCAAUCUUUAAUGACCUGACAACAGUAUCGUAACUAUAUCCCC